Molecule: ribosomal RNA, 500 nt
Filed under: uncultured bacterium
Lineage: Bacteria
Description: partial 16S ribosomal RNA
Rfam family: Bacterial small subunit ribosomal RNA
Source: RNAcentral
AUUGAACGCUGGCGGCAUGCUUUACACAUGCAAGUCGAACGGUAACAGGGUGCUUGCACCGCUGACGAGUGGCGAACGGGUGAGUAAUGCGUCGGAACGUGCCGAGCAGCGGGGGAUAACGCAGCGAAAGUUGUGCUAAUACCGCAUACGUACUGAGGUAGAAAGUGGGGGACGUUCGGGCCGCACGCUAUCCGAGCGGCCGGCGUCUGAUUAGCUAGUAGGUGAGGUAAAGGCUCACCUAGACGACGAACAGUACCGGGUCUGAGAGGAUGAUCCGCCACACUGGGACUGAGACACGGCCCAGACUCCUACGGGAGGCAGCAGUGGGGAAUUUUGGACAAUGGGCGAAAGCCUGAUCCAGCCAUGCCGCGUGUCUGAAGAAGGCCUUCGGGUUGUAAAGGACUUUUGUCAGGGAGGAAAUCCCUAGUGCUAAUAACACUGGGGGAUGACAGUACCUGAAGAAUAAGCACCGGCUAACUACGUGCCCGCCGCCGCAGUAA